GUGGGGAAUCUUCCGCAAUGGGCGAAAGCCUGACGGAGCAACGCCGCGUGAGUGAUGAAGGCCUUCGGGCUGUAAAACUCUGUUGUCAGGGACGAAGGUGCAUCUUUCGAACAGAUGGGUGUAUUGACGGUACCUGACGAGGAAGCCACGGCUAACUACGUGCCAGCAGCCGCGGUAAUACGUAGGUGGCAAGCGUUGUCCGGAAUUAUUGGGCGUAAAGAGCAUGUAGGCGGGCUUUUAAGUCCGGCGUGAAAAUGCGGGGCUCAACCCCGUAUGGCGUUGGAAACUGGAAGUCUUGAGUGCAGGAGAGGAAAGGGGAAUUCCCAGUGUAGCGGUGAAAUGCGUAGAUAUUGGGAGGAACACCAGUGGCGAAGGCGCCUUUCUGGACUGUGUCUGACGCUCAGAUGCGAAAGCCAGGGUAGCAAACGGGAUUAGAUACCCUAGUAGUCC
Molecule: ribosomal RNA, 450 nt
Filed under: uncultured bacterium
Lineage: Bacteria
Description: partial 16S ribosomal RNA
Rfam family: Bacterial small subunit ribosomal RNA
Source: RNAcentral